Molecule: ribosomal RNA, 468 nt
Filed under: uncultured bacterium
Lineage: Bacteria
Description: partial 16S ribosomal RNA
Rfam family: Bacterial small subunit ribosomal RNA
Source: RNAcentral
GACGAACGCUGGCGGCGUGCUUAACACAUGCAAGUCGAACGGAAAGGCCCUGCUCUUGUGGGGUGCGCGAGUGGCGAACGGGUGAGUAACACGUGAGUAACCUGUCCUUGACUUUGGGAUAACUUCAGGAAACUGGGGCGAAUACCGGAUAGGAAAUCCUGCUGCAUGGGGGGGGUUGGUGAGAUUCGGCGGUUGGGGAUGGACGCGCGGCUUAUCAGCUUGUUGGUGGGGUAGUGGCGUACCAGGGCUUUGACGGGUAGCCGGCCUGGGAGGGUGACCGGCCACAUUGGCACUGAGGUACGGGCCAGACUGCUACGGGAGGCAGCAGUGGGAAUUAUUGCACAAUGCGCCGAAGCCGGGUGCAGCGACGCCGGGUCCGGGAUGACGGCCUUCGGGUUAUAAACCUCGUUCGCCUGUGACGAAGCGUGAGUGACGGUAAUGAGUAAGAAAGCACCGGCUAACUACGUG